Molecule: ribosomal RNA, 542 nt
Filed under: Escherichia coli
Lineage: Bacteria; Pseudomonadati; Pseudomonadota; Gammaproteobacteria; Enterobacterales; Enterobacteriaceae
Description: bacterial SSU rRNA
Rfam family: Bacterial small subunit ribosomal RNA
Source: RNAcentral
GCAAGCUUGAGUCUCGUAGAGGGGGGUAGAAUUCCAGGUGUAGCGGUGAAAUGCGUAGAGAUCUGGAGGAAUACCGGUGGCGAAGGCGGCCCCCUGGACGAAGACUGACGCUCAGGUGCGAAAGCGUGGGGAGCAAACAGGAUUAGAUACCCUGGUAGUCCACGCCGUAAACGAUGUCGACUUGGAGGUUGUGCCCUUGAGGCGUGGCUUCCGGAGCUAACGCGUUAAGUCGACCGCCUGGGGAGUACGGCCGCAAGGUUAAAACUCAAAUGAAUUGACGGGGGCCCGCACAAGCGGUGGAGCAUGUGGUUUAAUUCGAUGCAACGCGAAGAACCUUACCUGGUCUUGACAUCCACGGAAGUUUUCAGAGAUGAGAAUGUGCCUUCGGGAACCGUGAGACAGGUGCUGCAUGGCUGUCGUCAGCUCGUGUUGUGAAAUGUUGGGUUAAGUCCCGCAACGAGCGCAACCCUUAUCCUUUGUUGCCAGCGGUCCGGCCGGGAACUCAAAGGAGACUGCCAGUGAUAAACUGGAGGAAGGUGGGG